CUUUUCUAAAGCUGUGAUUGAACAAUCCGUUUUACAAACCCCGUUCAAACCCUAAAAACUAUAACGCCGCACAUUGCAUCAUCUUCAAUCGAUCUCUUCAAUCCUUUUAUUUGAUUUUCUCUUGUAAGUAAGAAGCCUGAUAAUCUUCCAAAUAGCGAUUGACAACCACAUAGCUAACAUUGCCCAUGAAAUCAGGCCUAAGAAGAUAUGAAAUGGUCGCCAUACUUGAUACCAAUGCUUGGAUUGUAUGAAUCGCCCUAUCUGCUCUCUUUGUCUCAAUCAUCACAAGGACCACCAAACCAUUUAGGGGUUUUGAAGCAUGAUGACGAGGGUUUGAAUGCUAAAUCUCUUUCAUCUUCUACAUUUGAGAUUCGAAAAUUGGGAUUUUAGGCAUGUAGUCGGGGAUCCUUACAGAACGCAGAUUGCAUUCUUUUUUUUUUUUUUUUCCAAAUGAGCACCAAUUUCCUUCACAAUUGGGUUUUAUCAUGAGGUUUCUUUUAGCUGUGACUCAGUUGAUGAGUUAUAGCGGCUGAAAGGAAGGCUAACUUAAAUAAUGAGCAACUGUGAUGCAGCUGAUGCUUUGUGUCUUCAUUUUUCUACAGUACUAUGUUCAUCUUGGAGUGAUAUCUGGUGAUUUAGCAAGAUUUGAGUAGUCGGAGAUUUAGUAAAGACUUAUCGAGAUAUCUGGUGAUUCUACCAAAUCUUAGAUCUUCUUAAAAUCAGGAAAGAUGCUGGAGUCUGGUGAUUCUACCAAAUCUUAGAUCUUCUUAAAAUCAGGAAAGAUGCUGGAGUGAAGGACCCUUUCUGGAUUCCACCACCUGGUUGGAAGGCCGGUGAUUCUCUGGUCCAGGAUCCCAUUGUGGCAAAAGAAAUCAGAAAUCUACAAGUAAUUUCAAAUAUCAAAAGUCUCUUCACAGGGAUUAUGAGGAGGAAUUAGGAAAACUGAAAAGGGAGGUCCAGGAGUUGAGUUCAAAGAAAGAUGAAAGUCAAGCUAUUGUGGUUUCUAAACAAGUUGACCCGGUUCCUAAACAACCAACUGAUAUCUUUAUUUAUAUGUUUGAUUCAAAGUCAGAAACAAGUGAGGCACAUAACAUAAGGAUAAACGCAGCAAGGUCCUACAGGUCAGUCUUCUAAUCAAUGUUAAAUGAUAUAUAUACAUACGUACGGAUCAAAUGCAUUUAAUAUGCAUGAGAAGUUUCUAAUUUGAUAUGACAUCACCAAAUUCUGUGCACCAGUCUUUCUAAAACUGUGAAUAUGUGAUUGAGAUGAUUAGUUUAAACUUAUCUUGACUACUCGUGUAUUUCAGAUCUAAAACGGAAUUGCAGAUCUGUUAAAGUUCUAUAAUAGUUUCAUAUUUGGUGUUGUGGUGAGUCAGAUCUAAAUCACAAGUUUUUGGUAGUGUUAAUCGUAGAAAGAAGGAGAAGGUUCAGAUUUGUUAUUGUUUUUGUUGUUGUUCUUUGAGCAGAGAAUUAUUCCUGAUCUGAGUUGCUUUUGCUUUGUAACACACGAAGUAGAAUGUUGAUGUUGUACGGCUGGAUUUAAAGAAUUGAUAAACGGAUCAUAAUCAAACUGAUUCAAAGAAGAAAGACCGGCUGGUUCGAAAAGAAGAAAGACCGGCUGGUUCGAUUAGGUUGCAUGUUUUUCAAAGUAUUUUUUUAGGCUGAACAAAGGGAAUAGGAGAGUUUAUAAUCGACAGUUCAAUCGAUUGUCUCUCUGCCUUUUAAAAUUGUCUACUUCCAUUGAAUCGACGGCGAAUAGAUGAAUAAUCUCGCUGGAUUGGCGGCUAUGUCCCACCGCGGCGGUAGUUUUCGGCGUAUUCUGGGUCUUGCAUUCUGCCUCACCGAAGUCCGCUUAUAUACGAGAUAAUUCGAUUUCAAGCGUUAUUCCGAUGGAGAUUUCAUCGCUUCCAUAGAUAACGGAAGUUGAUCUAUCGCAUAAUCUGCUCACUGGUACCAUUCCUUCAACUUUUGGUAACUGUCGUACGCUUGAAGCAUUCAAUGUAUCGUAUAAUCAGCUCACGGGACAUGUGCCUUCGUCGGGGAUCGCGUUUUCGAGCCUGCAUCUGUCGUCGUUCACUGGAAAUGAAGGACUCUACGGCAGGGUUAUUAACAAACCGUGUGGGGCUGAUGCGGAACAUGAGGUGAAACGGAUUCAAUCGAAGAAGCCUACGGGUGCAAACUUACAAACCGACUUUUUUUGUGCACCACUAUUCACAACCACUGCCACCGUUGUCGCCAUCCCACUGACGCUGUUGCUACCACCUUCACCACUGCUGCCAUCUCCACCUGUCGCCAUUAACUGCCAAAACAUAUUGGGGGAUCAUUUCCUUUUCUAAAACGACUCAUUUUCAACCUGAGCCCAUUUUGGUCAGAACUGUUUUGGCAUGAACCAAUUUGAUACUUAUUUAAAGCUGCCUGUUUUAACCCUAUCCAGUUUUAGUUAGAACCUGUUUUGACCCAAAUCCAGUUUGACUUGCAUCCGUUUUGAUUCGUUACCCAUCACAACUCACCCCACCUUUUUUAGGCUUUAUUCAGACUAUUGUCGGUGCAUUCAAAGUUAUGAUGGAAAGAUUAUAUAUAUAUGUGUGUAUUUUGUUUAAUAUGUAAUCUUUUUUUUGUUUGUGAUGUUGCAGAGGAGAACACAGAUUGCAUUCUUUUUUUUUUUCCAAAUGAGCACCAAUUUCCUUCACAAUUGGGUUUUAUCAUGAGGUUUUUUUUAGCCGGUAAACUUUUAGAUUUUGUUCUUUGUACUCCCUCUUACUCUGUUAGAUGUUUUUCGAUUUGGGUUUUUUAUUACACUAUUAACCGGGAUUUGAAGGACAUUUUAAUAAAGAUUAUCACUUUGCUUGAAUCUUCAGUAAUCUUGGAUUACAAUGUUGCAGUGACUCAGUUGAUGAGUUAUAGCGGCCGAAAGGAAGGCUAACUUAAAUAAUGAGCAACUGUGAUGCAGCUGAUGCUUUGUGUCUUCAUUUUUCUACAGGUAAAAUGUAGUUGAUGCUGAUGCUUUGUGUCUUCAUUUACCCCACUUUUAGUUUUUAACCUAAACGGGUUCGCUGAAAAAGUUGAUGCUUAUGAUAAACUACUCAAUGAAAUGGUGUUGGAUAUGCGUGCUCGCCCGUCAAACAGGUUAAAAACGCCCGAAGAACUUGCACAAGACGAAAAAGAGCGACUAGAAGAAUUGGAGGUAUGUUAAUUAUAAUGUUUCUUAUAAUGAAUGGUCGGUGGCCUAUGCCACCGACAAAAAGGCAAAAAAGGCCACUGUGCAAUCAUCUGGAUUACGGCCACAGCGUUUGGGUCGGUUUGUUUAUUCUUGUGGGCGGAAUCCGGUUCUUCCGUGCGAAUUACCAUCGAGGGUUUGUAGCGGAAGAAGCAGAGACGCGGCCUUCUAUUUUUUGUUCUCCUUUUAUUGAUAAAGGUAAAAGUUACAUCAUAAUUAAGCUUUUUUUCUUAAUUAACUUUUAUGUGGUUGUUAUAAAUCUUCACCAGUCUUAAUCUAUGCACUGGUUUAUUUUUUGUUUAACUGGAAUUGUUCUUGCUAUUACUAAUGUACUCCAGAUCACUCACGCAGUUGUAGCCUGAGUAAGUUGACAUCUCUCCGCGUGGGUUCAGAUUAAACCGUCAAAAUUUAUGAUCUAUUAAUUCAUGUUGAAGAACUAUAAGUCUCAUGACAUAGAUCGAUAGCAACGGUCGUAUGAAUAAGAAAAUUAACAAACUUAAAUUGAUAAAAAAAUGAGUAUCUGGGGUUAUUAGAUUAGCAUGUAGUGCAGCUGAUGAACGUGCUAAGCAUGUAGUUUCGGAUGAUUUUACUUUAUGAAAACUAGGGUGGUUGACAAUUUGGUUAAUUUCUCUAUAUUUGUGUUGGUUGAUUUGCCAGCAAAGAGGUACAAAAAAUUGGAAGCCACAUAUAAUGUACCAAUUAUAUCUAUGUAAGUUUUAACUAACAAAAGUUUUUUUUUUUAAGUUAACUUAAUUAAUUUCUUAUUGUUCACUUAAGUUCCACCUUUUAUACGAGUGUGAUAUCUAGCUAUUGGUUGUGAAAAGUUUACUUAAAAAGUAGCUUAUAAAAUAAUUUAGGAAUAAUGGAUUUUAAUAAUCCUAACUAUCAGCCGUUGCCAUUGGCCGGCAAUGGAUUUUAAAGUGUGUCCCUUUGCAUUUUGGCAACCAACCAUCUACCAUUGAUCUCAAUUCAGUUGGAGAGGAAACAAAAUCUCAAGAUUGAGCUAGAGGGGUACAUUUCUUUAGGUUAUGAUUCAUAUUCCAUAUCUUCUAACGAAUUUUGACACAUUUUAUUUGCUAAGAAGCAAAUAACUUGAAAAUUCUUAAUUUAAAAUUAGAGGUGCACUUUGCAUAAACUCGUGAACUAUUGAUGAUUAUUUCCAGUAUUAUGGAACCAAAGAAGUAAAAAAAAUAGACGUGCACCUUGCUACUGAUCUGUUAGCUUUAUGGGUUGAUUUGUGAUUGUGUUUUAUGUCAAAUGGGUCAAAAAAGGGCAGGCAAGCUACGCCGGUGUAGCGGACAGCCACUGUUGCUUGUCCAUUCUUCCGACAUGAGGUAAUAGUUGAUUACUAUAUAUGUCGAUGUGUGUGUGACUGUGUGCGUUUCAUUUACAGAGUGUGUGUCGAUGUGAGUUUGGGUGCCUAUGUGUUGUGUCGAAUGUAUGUGCGCUUAUGAAUGUGUGUGUGUCGACUGUGUUAGAUGACACAUUAACGGGUUAGAACGGGAUUAAAAUGGAGAAAGUGUUGUUGAUGUUGCAUAAUCCAUAGUCUUUUAAGUAUAUUGACAGUUUGAGGAGUCUAAUUUAAAUAUAUGCAAUUUCUGCAGCUAGGACAUAUCUUCAAGGUAACUUAAGGUUCCAUUUCCAAAGCAAACUAUGUUAGGUACAAGUGACUCGGUGGACAACUCAACCUUUACUUCUGUACGUGCUAAUGUGGCAAGUUCAACAAGUGGAAAUGCUCGGAUUAUGGUUGAGGAAGACUCCAUCACUUCAUAUGUUCAGUACUGUUGUGAUGGUUGUUCCACUGUCCCUAUACUCAGGCGUAGAUGGUAUUGUACAGUCUACCCUGAUUUCGAUUUACAUAAAGCAUGCUAUGAAAUGCUUGAUGUUGACCGACUUCCUCCGCCUCACUCCUGAGACCAUCCUAUGUCAGCAAUUCCAAUUGAAUCGAAACUAAGAGGGAAAUGAAAUGUAGUUCUCUACUGAUGAUUUUUGUGAUCGAUGUUGCUGCCUUUUGCAUCUGAUGCUGGCAUGAUGGCGUCUGCUCCUACAAGGAUAUCAUCCCUGAGUAUAUUAUAUUAAUAUUUAAUCAUGUAAAUACUAUUUUCAUACAUUUAUGUUAUUUAACUAUAUAUUGUUUGUCGUUACAAGAACAAUACCAUGAUAUAUAGUUUUGACAUCUAUUUUCUUUCCUU
Long non-coding RNA from Helianthus annuus (common sunflower), 5408 nucleotides. RefSeq lists it as uncharacterized. The transcript is spliced from 9 exons. The record is from RefSeq and is a predicted model, not a curated record. NCBI's taxonomy places the organism in Eukaryota, Viridiplantae, Streptophyta, Magnoliopsida, Asterales, Asteraceae.